This 248-nucleotide ribosomal RNA is filed under the name uncultured bacterium. RNAcentral's name for it is "partial 16S ribosomal RNA". It matches the Rfam family "Bacterial small subunit ribosomal RNA", at positions 524 to 772 of the family's 1533-position model. The record is from RNAcentral.
UACGUAGGGUGCAAGCGUUAAUCGGAAUUACUGGGCGUAAAGCGUGCGCAGGCGGUUUUGUAAGUCUGUCGUGAAAUCCCCGGGCUCAACCUGGGAAUUGCGAUGGAGACUGCAAGGCUAGAAUCUGGCAGAGGGGGGUAGAAUUCCACGUGUAGCAGUGAAAUGCGUAGAGAUGUGGAGGAACACCGAUGGCGAAGGCAGCCCCCUGGGUCAAGAUUGACGCUCAUGCACGAAAGCGUGGGAGCAAC